GACGAACGCUGGCGGCGUGCUUAACACAUGCAAGUCGAACGGAAAGGCCCUGCUUUUGUUGGGUGCUCGAUUGGCGAACGGGUGAGUAACACGUGAGUAACCUGCCCUUGACUUUGGGAUAACUUCAGGAAACUGGGGCUAAUACCGGAUAGGAGCUCCUGCUGCAUGGUGGGGGUUGGAGAGUUUCGGCGGUUGUGGAUGGACUCGCGGCUUAUCAGCUUGUUGGUGGGGUAGUUGCUUACCAAGGCUUUGACGGGUAGCCGGCCUGAGAGGGUGACCGGCGACAUUGGGACUGAGAGACGGCCCAGACUCCUACGGGAGGCAGCAGUGGGGAAUAUUGCACAAUGGGCGGAAGCCUGAUGCAGAAACGCCGGGUGCGGGAUGACGGCCUUCGGGUUGUAAACCGCUUUCGCCUGUGACGAAGCGUGAGUGACGGUAAUGGGUAAAGAAGCACCGGCUAACUACGUG
RNAcentral lists this ribosomal RNA (468 nucleotides) under uncultured bacterium. RNAcentral describes it as "partial 16S ribosomal RNA". It matches the Rfam family "Bacterial small subunit ribosomal RNA", at positions 28 to 507 of the family's 1533-position model. The record is from RNAcentral.